This 253-nucleotide ribosomal RNA is filed under the name uncultured bacterium. RNAcentral's name for it is "partial 16S ribosomal RNA". It matches the Rfam family "Bacterial small subunit ribosomal RNA", at positions 524 to 776 of the family's 1533-position model. The record is from RNAcentral.
UACGAAGGGUGCAAGCGUUACUCGGAAUUACUGGGCGUAAAGCGCGCGUAGGUGGUGCGUUAAGUCUGUCGUGAAAGCCCCGGGCUCAACCUGGGAAUGGCGAUGGAUACUGGCGCGCUAGAGUGCGGUAGAGGAGAGUGGAAUUCCCGGUGUAGCAGUGAAAUGCGUAGAGAUCGGGAGGAACAUCAGUUGCGAAGGCGGCUCUCUGGACCAGCACUGACACUGAGGCACGAAAGCGUGGGGAGCAAACAGG